RNAcentral lists this long non-coding RNA (1329 nucleotides) under Pogona vitticeps (central bearded dragon). Its description in RNAcentral is "lncRNA (ENSPVIG00000012843.1)". Lineage: Eukaryota; Metazoa; Chordata; Lepidosauria; Squamata; Agamidae. The record is from RNAcentral.
UGACCCAGCACUUAAUCUUGGGGGUUCAUCUUGACCCAGGACGUACCAUGCAGUCCCAGGUAGUGUCUGUGGUCCGCACCACCCACCUACAUCUUUGGCGGGUUGCCUAGCUGCGCUCCUAUCUUGAUGUUGGGGCGCUCACCACUCUGGUCCAUGUGCUCUUAGUCUUGGGAUUAGACUACUGUAAUGUCAUCUACGUGGGGCUGCCCUUGAGACUGACGUGGAAACUACAAAUGGUCCAGAUCACAGCCGCCAUUUCCUCUACUCUGCAGCCUUACACAGGUUGCCCAUUCAUUUCCGCAUUUACUUCAAGGUAUUAAUGCUUACAUAUAAAGCCCUAAAUGGUUUAGGACCUUGAUACCUGACAGAGCGCCUGCUCCCACCUAGCUCUACUCGUGUCACUUGAUCUAGCCAGGCUGGGUGGCUGAGGGGCUUGACCCCGAGAGAGGCCCCAGAGGACAGAACUAGAAACCAAGCCUUCUCGGCAGCGGCCCCUCGCCUCUGCUUACCUCUUGAGAUUCGCCUGGUUCCCUUGCUGGGAGUUUUUAAGAACACGCUGAAGACUUGGUUCUUCAGGCAGGCCUUCCCCCCUUCCAUUUCUUAGCUCCCUAUGUCUUACCAUCUUGGACUUUCCUUAUCUCUGUGCUGUUUGAUAUUGUGUGUUUUAAAUUUUGCUUUAUAUUCGGAAUGUAAGCCACUCAGAGUAGAUUCAUUGAAUCUAGAUGGGGGGGGGUAAAAGCUGGGGGGGGGAAUAAAUAAAUAAAGUGCCACAAAGUCUUCUCUCUUUUUUUCUUUCUUUCUUUUUUGGGGGCAAAAUUUUGGUUGGUUGGUUUUGCGUUUGUUGAAAUGCUUGCACAGACUAACUCCGCUACAACUCCGAGUCUUAGGGAUUUAACUACCCGGAUCAUCUUCUCCAUCCUACAACGUUAGCUGGCUGCUGUGCCGCAGACACCGGCGGGCCGAAGCGUCCGCCGGUGCUGCCGGCCAGGGAGGAGAUUGGCAGCGUUCUGGGCUGGGACGUCUGGGCGAGGGCGGAGUAGGGGCCCUCGGCGUGCGGACCACAGAAGGCUGAGCCCCGCCUCGCUCGCUCGCUCGCUCGCUGGCUGUUGCCCCACGCCGAGGUGCACCUCUCGUGGGUGGCGGAGCCGGAGGGGCCUCUCUGGUUGGUGGCAGGAAUGGACAGGGGCCCGGCUGAACAUACAAGGAGAUAAGCGGCCCCCUGACCGGGAUGAUUCUCGGGGGGGGGCAGAACCGUCUUCAGGCAGGCUUUGGGGAGUAUUAUUCUGCAUAACUUUUGAUGAUGAUGAUGAUGAACGACGCUUAAGCUAA